Molecule: ribosomal RNA, 370 nt
Filed under: uncultured organism
Description: bacterial SSU rRNA
Rfam family: Bacterial small subunit ribosomal RNA
Source: RNAcentral
CGUAGGGUGCGAGCGUUAAUCGGAAUUACUGGGCGUAAAGCGUGCGCAGGCGGUUAUAUAAGACAGAUGUGAAAUCCCCGGGCUCAACCUGGGAACUGCAUUUGUGACUGUAUAGCUAGAGUACGGCAGAGGGGGAUGGAAUUCCGCGUGUAGCAGUGAAAUGCGUAGAUAUGCGGAGGAACACCGAUGGCGAAGGCAAUCCCCUGGGCCUGUACUGACGCUCAUGCACGAAAGCGUGGGGAGCAAACAGGAUUAGAUACCCUGGUAGUCCACGCCCUAAACGAUGUCAACUGGUUGUUGGGUCUUCACUGACUCAGUAACGAAGCUAACGCGUGAAGUUGACCGCCUGGGAAGUACGGCCGCAAGGUUG